GUAAAUUCUAGUGGGCAAGAGGAAGAGAAGAGAAACUACAACAUCAUUAUCUUACUGCUGGAGGCAGCAGAUUACGGACCCCUGACUGUGAUGUGUCAAAUGCACUGUGUGACAACCAAGACCCUACACAUCUGGGGGGCACUUCAGGAUUCCUCCAGGCGGCAGUUGCUGGCCUAGACUCACUUCUUCAGGAGGGAGGUUCGCCCUGGAAAAGCUGAUUUGCAUUUCUGCUGGGAUCGAUGCCGUGGAGACUGAAUACAUUGAGGUCUCCAGGUGAAAGAAGAAAGCUUAACCUGGCUUCUGAAUUCCAAGAGCACACGGCAAAGUGGUAAGAAAACUAAGGUCUAUUUUUUCUUUCUUUUUGAGUACUUGAGUGACUCAGCAAAUAUGAUAUUGGGAGAUGUCAUUUCUGAUUGGUAUUGUGCUGUACAUGUAGCUGUCUUCUGGAAGUAGAGGCUGCUGGGAUCUUUCCUGGACUUGUAUAUCAGGGAGAAAGAAC
RNAcentral lists this long non-coding RNA (499 nucleotides) under Homo sapiens (human). RNAcentral's name for it is "non-protein coding lnc-RUNX1-12:5". Lineage: Eukaryota; Metazoa; Chordata; Mammalia; Primates; Hominidae. The record is from RNAcentral.